RNAcentral lists this ribosomal RNA (253 nucleotides) under uncultured bacterium. Its description in RNAcentral is "partial 16S ribosomal RNA". It matches the Rfam family "Bacterial small subunit ribosomal RNA", at positions 524 to 776 of the family's 1533-position model. The record is from RNAcentral.
UACGGAGGGUGCAAGCGUUAUCCGGAUUUACUGGGUUUAAAGGGUGUGUAGGCGGGCUUUUAAGUCAGUGGUGAAAUCUCCGGGCUCAACCUGGAAACUGCCAUUGAUACUAUUAGUCUUGAAUUUUGUUGAGGUAGGCGGAAUAAGUCAUGUAGCGGUGAAAUGCAUAGAUAUGACUUAGAACACCAAUUGCGAAGGCAGCUUGCUAAACAAAUAUUGACGCUGAGGCACGAAAGCGUGGGGAUUAAACAGG